AUUUACUCCUAAACUUCCUGAUUCUGAGUCACUCUACAACUUUGUGUGGUCCAUGAUCUGAGUGCUCAUCAGAAGCGCCUUGAUGCAGCAUUAAGCAACAAAAAAAGAAAGAACACGCUCCUUUCUUUGCUCUAGAAUUUCCUUCCAACCACUGCCCUACAUUCUUAAAAUUUGGUGCACAUGGACAGGCAAUGGCAGCUUAGCCACAACUGCUGCCUGGUUGACAGCAAUUGUGAAGCACUACUCAAUUUAUAAAUAUUAAAAAUGCACUUCUGGGAUGAAUGAAUAUGUCGUAUUGCAAAUUGUCCAUCACAAAGAUUUUACCAAUUUGUACUCUCACCAGCAGCACAAGUGCUACUCAUAUCCUUUAAUUCUUAGUGAAUAUGGUGGGAUCCUUAAAAUAAAAACACCUUUACCAAUUUGAUAGGUGAAAAGUGAUAUCUCAUUUUAACUUACACUUAUUGUUAGACUAGCUGAAAUUUAUUUUUAUAUAUUUCUGGUCACUUGAGUUUUUUCUCCUGCCAAUUGUACAUAUAGUUGGUUAAUUUUUCUGUUUUGAUGUUAAUCUUAACUCUUAAGAGUUCCUUCAUGAUUCCCAGUUAGUAAUGUAGGAAGCCAGUUAGUUAAUCUUUCAUCUAUAAUAUGUUACAAAUAAUUUUCUAUCCUAGUUUAGUUUAAUUUUUACUGCAAUUUUUAGGAUUAUUUUUGUAUUUAUGUAUAUAUAUAUGUAGUUAAUAUUUUUCUUUAUGAUUUCUU
RNAcentral lists this long non-coding RNA (756 nucleotides) under Marmota monax (woodchuck). Lineage: Eukaryota; Metazoa; Chordata; Mammalia; Rodentia; Sciuridae. The record is from RNAcentral.